GACGAACGCUGGCGGCGUGCUUAACACAUGCAAGUCGAGCGGGGAACUUCGGUUCCUAGCGGCGGACGGGUGAGUAACACGUGGGUAACCUACCUCAUAGUGGGGAAUAGCCUUCCGAAAGGAAGAUUAAUACCGCAUAAUACUCAGAGAUCACAUGAUUUCUGAGCCAAAGGAUUUAUUCGCUAUGAGAUGGACCCGCGGCGCAUUAGCUUGUUGGUGAGGUAACGGCUCACCAAGGCUUCGAUGCGUAGCCGACCUGAGAGGGUGAUCGGCCACAUUGGAACUGAGACACGGUCCAGACUCCUACGGGAGGCAGCAGUGGGGAAUAUUGCACAAUGGGGGAAACCCUGAUGCAGCAACGCCGCGUGAGUGAUGAAGGUUUUCGGAUCGUAAAACUCUGUCUUAUGGGACGAUAAUGACGGUACCAUAGGAGGAAGCCACGGCUAACUACGUGCCAGCAGCCGCCGUAA
RNAcentral lists this ribosomal RNA (470 nucleotides) under uncultured bacterium. RNAcentral's name for it is "partial 16S ribosomal RNA". It matches the Rfam family "Bacterial small subunit ribosomal RNA", at positions 28 to 523 of the family's 1533-position model. The record is from RNAcentral.